This 201-nucleotide long non-coding RNA is filed under the name Mytilus galloprovincialis (Mediterranean mussel). The record is from RNAcentral. Lineage: Eukaryota; Metazoa; Mollusca; Bivalvia; Mytilida; Mytilidae.
UACAUUAGUCAAUAACAUAGAGCUAUCAUAUUAUUUUAAUUAGAAGGCGGAUAGAAAGGUUAUCGAACGCAUCGGAACAACAUUCUUAUAUCAUGGGAUAUCAACAUCUUUGUCGACGUUACUUCGUUCCCCGUUUUUUAUCUGUCUCUUCCUAAUUUUUACUUUAUGCAUUUAUACACGCAUGGAUAUUUCAUUGUUAUU